ACUUAUAUAGCUCAGUCGGUAAAGCACGAGACUCAAUCUCAGGAUCGUGGGUUGGAGCCCCUCGUUGGGCA
Non-coding RNA from Podarcis lilfordi (Lilford's wall lizard), 71 nucleotides. The record is from the annotation of a GenBank genome assembly. NCBI's taxonomy places the organism in Eukaryota, Metazoa, Chordata, Lepidosauria, Squamata, Lacertidae.